UAACCGACUCUCGGCAACGGAUAUCUCGGCUCUCGCAUCGAUGAAGAACGUAGCGAACUGCGAUACUUGGUGUGAAUUGCAGAAUCCCGUGAACCAUCGAGUCUUUGAACGCAAGUUGCGCCCGAAUCCGUYUGGACGAGGGCACGUUUGCCUGGGUGUCA
Molecule: ribosomal RNA, 161 nt
Filed under: Myrceugenia myrtoides
Lineage: Eukaryota; Viridiplantae; Streptophyta; Magnoliopsida; Myrtales; Myrtaceae
Description: 5.8S ribosomal RNA
Rfam family: 5.8S ribosomal RNA
About the family: 5.8S ribosomal RNA (5.8S rRNA) is a component of the large subunit of the eukaryotic ribosome.
Source: RNAcentral